Molecule: ribosomal RNA, 490 nt
Filed under: uncultured bacterium
Lineage: Bacteria
Description: partial 16S ribosomal RNA
Rfam family: Bacterial small subunit ribosomal RNA
Source: RNAcentral
GUGAACGCUGGCGGUAGGCCUAACACAUGCACGUCGAACGGCAGCACAGUAAGAGCUUGCUCUUACGGGUGGCGAGUGGCGGACGGGUGAGGAAUACAUCGGAAUCUACUUUUUCGUGGGGGAUAACGUAGGGAAACUUACGCUAAUACCGCAUACGACCUACGGGUGAAAGCAGGGGAUCUUCGGACCUUGCGCGAUUGAAUGAGCCGAUGUCGGAUUAGCUAGUUGGCGGGGUAAAGGCCCACCAAGGCGACGAUCCGUAGCUGGUCUGAGAGGAUGAUCAGCCACACUGGAACUGAGACACGGUCCAGACUCCUACGGGAGGCAGCAGUGGGGAAUAUUGGACAAUGGGCACAAGCCUGAUCCAGCCAUACCGCGUGGGUGAAGAAGGCCUUCGGGUUGUAAAGCCCUUUUGUUGGGAAAGAAAAGCAGCAGGUUAAUACCCCGCUGUUCUGACGGUACCCAAAGAAUAAGCACCGGCUAACUUCGU